GUGGGGAAUAUUGGACAAUGGGCGAAAGCCUGAUCCAGCCAUGCCGCGUGUGUGAAGAAGGUCUUCGGAUUGUAAAGCACUUUAAGUUGGGAGGAAGGGCAGUAAGUUAAUACCUUGCUGUUUUGACGUUACCAACAGAAUAAGCACCGGCUAACUUCGUGCCAGCAGCCGCGGUAAUACGAAGGGUGCAAGCGUUAAUCGGAAUUACUGGGCGUAAAGCGCGCGUAGGUGGUUUUGUAAGUUGGAGGUGAAAUCCCCGGGCUCAACCUGGGAACUGCCUCCAAAACUGCAUGACUAGAGUACGGUAGAGGGUAGUGGAAUUUCCUGUGUAGCGGUGAAAUGCGUAGAUAUAGGAAGGAACACCAGUGGCGAAGGCGACUACCUGGACUGAUAUUGACGCUGAGGCACGAAAGCGUGGGGAUCAAACAGGAUUAGAUACCCGAGUAGUCC
This 450-nucleotide ribosomal RNA is filed under the name uncultured bacterium. RNAcentral describes it as "partial 16S ribosomal RNA". It matches the Rfam family "Bacterial small subunit ribosomal RNA", at positions 354 to 796 of the family's 1533-position model. The record is from RNAcentral.